Molecule: ribosomal RNA, 504 nt
Filed under: uncultured organism
Description: SSU rRNA
Rfam family: Bacterial small subunit ribosomal RNA
Source: RNAcentral
GGCUCAGGAUGAACGCUGGCGGCGUGCUUAACACAUGCAAGUCGAACGAAGCGUCCCGCCCGAAGAAGAGGAGAGCUUGCUCAAAUCGGACUCAAUUGGGACGACUUAGUGGCGGACGGGUGAGUAACGCGUGGGUAACCUGCCUUACACAGGGGGACAACAGUUGGAAACGACUGCUAAUACCGCAUAAGCGCACGAAAUCGCAUGAUAAAGUGUGAAAAGAUUUAUCGGUGUAAGAUGGACCCGCGUCUGAUUAGCUGGUUGGUGAGGUAACGGCUCACCAAGGCGACGAUCAGUAGCCGGCCUGAGAGGGUGAACGGCCACAUUGGGACUGAGACACGGCCCAAACUCCUACGGGAGGCAGCAGUGGGGAAUAUUGGACAAUGGGGGAAACCCUGAUCCAGCGACGCCGCGUGAGUGAAGAAGUAUUUCGGUAUGUAAAGCUCUAUCAGCAGGGAAGAAGAUGACGGUACCUGACUAAGAAGCCCCGGCUAACUACGUGCC